UUUGAGCGUGUCUCCCUUCUCGGGAAACACUCUCAACUCCACAAACCAUUGACCUCAAAUCGGGUGAGACUACCCGCUGAACUUAAGCAUAUC
This 93-nucleotide ribosomal RNA is filed under the name Lactarius alboscrobiculatus. Its description in RNAcentral is "partial 28S ribosomal RNA". Lineage: Eukaryota; Fungi; Basidiomycota; Agaricomycetes; Russulales; Russulaceae. The record is from RNAcentral.